This 302-nucleotide unclassified non-coding RNA is filed under the name Aquimixticola soesokkakensis. Its description in RNAcentral is "cspA". Lineage: Bacteria; Pseudomonadati; Pseudomonadota; Alphaproteobacteria; Rhodobacterales; Paracoccaceae. The record is from RNAcentral.
AUCGCGGGCAGCGCAAAACAGGAGUAUACACGAUGGCUAAUGGCACCGUGAAAUGGUUUAACAGCACCAAAGGUUUCGGCUUUAUCGAGCCCGAAGGCGGCAAAAAAGACGUGUUCGUUCACAUCUCCGCAGUCGAGCGUUCGGGUCUCACCACCCUGCGUGAUGGCGCGAAAGUCACUUUCGACAUCGAAGCUGGCCGUGACGGCCGUGAGUCCGCGAUCAACCUCGCACUCGCAUAAGACUUCCCUCGCGGGAAAUCUGCAAAGAUUUCAAAGGCGUCCACUUUGGUGGGCGCCUUUUUC